RNA transcript from Alexandromys fortis (reed vole), 5436 nucleotides. It is a transcript of the gene named cell division cycle 37 like 1, HSP90 cochaperone, with no coding region annotated. The transcript is spliced from 8 exons. The record is from RefSeq and is a predicted model, not a curated record. NCBI's taxonomy places the organism in Eukaryota, Metazoa, Chordata, Mammalia, Rodentia, Cricetidae.
UACUUCUUCCGCAGUCGGCCGGCGGCACGGCCCAGGCCUUCUCCCGGCGUGCGUCGGCUCUGCCGGCGGCAGAGGAAUUCUGGGUAACGACCGUGGCCAGCCGGGCGGCUGGCUCCGCCCAGCAGGUUCUACUCACGCCGGAGCAGUUGGCGGUGGCGGUUGUCGGGCCCGGAGCAGCGGGACAUGGAGCAGCCGUGGCCGCCGCCGGGCCCCUGGAGCUUCCCGAGGACUGACGGGCAGGCCGAGGAGGAGAGCGACUUGGACGUGUCUCCCUCUUCGUCCCACUACCCGCCGGUGCCUGGCGGCGGCGCCCAGAUGUAUAGCGAUGGGAUUGAGCUGGCUUGCCAAAGGCAGAAAGAAUUUGUGAAGAGCUCUGUGGCGUGCAAAUGGAAUCUUGCUGAAGCCCAGCAGAAACUUGGCAGCUUAGCACUGCAUAACUCUGAGUCCUUGGAUCAGGAACAUGCCACAGCACAGACCGCAGUGUCAGAACUGAGGCAGCGAGAAGAAGAAUGGCGACAGAAAGAGGAGGCUCUGGUCCAAAGAGAGAGGAACAUGGAUGCCGUUAGCAAAGAUGUUUUUAAUAAGAGUUUUAUUAAUCAAGAUAAAAGAAAAACAGAAGAUGAAGAUAAAUCGCAAUCAUUUAUGCAGAAAUAUGAGCAAAAAAUUCGACAUUUUGGUAUGUUGAGUCGGUGGGACGAUAGUCAGAGAUUUCUGUCUGACCACCCAUACCUUGUAUGCGAAGAAACUGCUAAAUAUCUUAUUUUAUGGUGUUUUCACCUGGAAGCUGAGCAGAAAGGUGCUUUAAUGGAACAAAUAGCACAUCAAGCUGUGGUAAUGCAGUUUAUCAUGGAAAUGGCCAAAAACUGUAAUGUGGAUCCAAGAGGCUGUUUUCGUUUGUUUUUCCAGAAAGCCAAAGCAGAGGAAGAAGGUUAUUUUGAAGCAUUCAAAAAUGAACUUGAAGCUUUCAAGUCAAGAGUAAGACUUUAUGCCCAAUCACAGAGCUUUCAAUCUACGACAGUUCAGAAUCAUGUUCCCCAUUCUAGUGUUGGAUGCGUAGGCUCCUUAGACUCCUUAUCACAGGCUCCAAGAUUUUAAGACCAGCUUUAGCCAGUUUAUUCUGUUGUCUGCAUGGGGACAUGGAAAGUGUCAUUCAGAAGACAAUAUGAGGAGAGUCCUGUAUUUAUCUCUAAGCCUCAUAUAAUGAAUCCAGAUUAUCUUGAGUGUUCUGUCAGCACAGCCCUCUGCAGUUUAACCUCAGAGGCACAGAAAGAAGACGAGGACAGAAUGAUGGACACUGUGUGAUUCAGUUAGGACUGCUGAGGCCAAGGACUAUUUUGUUACAAGAAGGAAGAGCUUGGCUAUUUUCUUGACACUUUUAUGGGUGCUGCACUUUAUUUUUGUUCAAUUUUUGAUGGGAGGGAAAAGAAUACUGAAAUGUUUUGCGACUUUUUUUAUGUGCUGCUAGGAUUUUUGUUGUUUUGUUUUGUUUCUGAAGGGAGGAGCGGUACCGUAUGUUGCAGGAAGUCAAACUGGACUCUUCCCCCACCCCUCAGUUACUAAAUUUGCCUUUAACUGUUGUUAAUUUUGGAAUCAAAGUAUGAAAAUCUGCACAAUGCAAUGUUUACAAGACUGGUUGACCGAGGAGGCAUCUGCUACGGAGUUGUAACGCGGAUACGAGAAUUAAAGAGAACAGUGUGCUUGUGUCCCACUGCAAAGUUCAGCUGUCACAUCUGGUGUUCAUCACAUUAAAAGCAAUAAAUCGGUAGUGGUAACCUACUUUACUAAUCAGUAAACUGGAUGACACAAAUUAUUGUUUUAAGGUAAUAUUUACAUUUGUAUUUUCGACACCACCAGUUAACUCCUUGACUAUAAAUUCGAUAUUAAAAACAUGACAUUUAUCCCUCAAAUAGUUUCAGAACUGUUGAGAAGUGAGUUGACUUUGUCCUAAUGACUGUUAACUAUUAAGGAGUGUAGCAUGUGUAGAGAGCGAUACAGUUUUCUGUUUUCCAACAAGAUGAACUGCAAGCUUUCUCUGACUUCUUUACUUGACAUAGUCUGGGACCUCUCAGGGAGUAAGUUUUGAAGAAUAGUAACGGCCUGUGAGAACAAACAGGAGUAAGGUCAUUGUUAAGUCACCGUUAUUGGUGUGUUUCCCUCUGGUGAAGCCUGGAGAAAUGGAGCUAAGCUGCCUUGAGCAGCCGACCAUGUCUGAGAAUUUGGUAACAGUCACCCUCGGUGUGGUGGGUGUCACUCCAGCUGUUACUCGCUUCUAGCUCAGUUCCGAUGCUUCUGAGCUUUACUUCUUCCUAUGUAAGUCACUGCAGAUCCACCAGGAUGUUUGAUGAUUCUUUUUAUUUAGAAUUAGAUGACAGUGCCAAUUAUGAUAUCCUUAUUAUUUGAGGAUUAAUCUUCCGACUUACAGGAGCAUUAUAGUUGAGUGUAAUCUUUGGCUCAGUACCCACUUCAAUUUGUAGCAAAUAUUUGGAAAGUGGGUGUUUGGGGUUGGGAAUGCAGGUCUCAGUUUGAGUAAGGAAAUCAUGCUGAGCUGCUGCAGGGGUCACAGCUGUGACCUCAGCUCCAUCUGCCUUUUCAGCCAGUGAGGCUGACUUAGGUGAUGGGGCGCCCAGUACUUGUGGAAAUGGACUGGAAUCGUUGAAUCAUAUUCCUGUAAUGUCAAUCUUCCUGGUUCCCAGAAUAAAAGUCUUUUUGUGCUUUUGAUAUAAAAAUAUAUACUCUAUAAUAAAAUGUUUGACUAAUUUAUAUGGUAGUGCUCACUGGGCUUGUAAUUUUUUUAAUCAGUGACCUAAUCAUGGAAGAUUUUUUUGUUUCUGUUGUAUUUUGAUGUUGUAUUCUCUUCUUUUUUCUUCUUGUCUGAGCAUGGUCUCAGCUACCCUCUUCACACCAAACGGACAGACAGACAGAACGAAUCCAAGUGCUACCGGGCUGACAGGUUUCCACGUCGACUUCACUUCUGCCCGCCCACACUUGUCUGCCUCUCUGUGUUCAGUCAAAUGGUUGUGACUUUCAUUUCUGCCUUCUAUAAUUUAAACUCUUAAUGCCCAAAACAGGUGACAAAACAGUAAUAACAAAGUGAGUAUAUAGUUAAAGUUUAUUCUGGAUUUGUUUUUUAAGACAAAAAUUGGUUAAGAAAAAAAAAACUUUUCACAUUUGACUAGAAUUUUUUUUUUCCCAAAGGAAAAAAGUGUGAUUGGUUUGUUUGGGGGAACCACCAAUGAGUGUCAUAAUUUUCACUUAAGGAUGGUAACUUAGUCAUUGGCAGGUCUUUAGUAUUACAGCAGUAUAUUGGGCUGGGUGUGGUAGCACAUGCCUUUAAUCCCAGCACUUGGGAGGCAGAGGGGAGUGGAUCUCUGAGUUAGAGGACAGUCUAGUCUACAUAGAGAGUCCCUGUCUCAAAAAAAAAAAAACCAAAACAAAAUGACAGUAUUUUUGAGUCCUUUUAUUUCCUUCACUUUGAAAAUGUCCUUAGUAUUGAGAGCUGGCUAUCUCUUACCAAAAUAAUUGGUACAAAUUUUUACAAAAAAUACAAAUUCCUCUCUUGUUUUCUUAAGUAGUAGUAAAGAAUAGUAAUAUUUAGCAAAUAGAUAAUUCAUAUUUAGGUUAGAAAAUUUUUCCCUAAUCUAUGGAAUCUAUGUUCAAACUGAGCAGCAGAAAAAUACUUGACAUCAAAAUAAUCAACAAAGACUAUUGUUUUACUUAGUAAAUUUUAUGUGUUAUUUAAUAAAAUAUUUUAAUGAAACAUCUGUGACUUAAGAUGUCACAGGGUGCAUGAAGCCCUCGAUUGUAUCCCCAGUGCCACAUAAACUUAGGAUAUAAUUUCUCUUCAGAAAUAUUAGGCUUUUUUCAGACUAGCAUUCAUAUUAUUUUAAAGUGAGUAAAGGCGGUUAAAAUGGCUCACUUGAGUAAAAGAUUUUGCUGCAAAGCCCGAGUACCUGAGUUGAGUAUCUGGGACUAAAUGGUGGCAGGAGAACCAACUCCUUAAGUUCAUCAGACCGUCAUACAUGGACAGAAGAACACAUACGCACACAAUUACUGUAAAUUUUAAGUUUAUUUUUAAAAUUUUUAAGUGAAUUAACAUGCUUCCCAAUGAGCACACAUAUCUCCAUUACUAAGUGGUUUUCAUGACAGUAUAGAAGUAUAGGCAAGGUGAUUCUCAAGUUAAUCCUGGGGUAUUUCAGAGAAAAACAAAAACCACCUUACUAUUCUCAGAACAAGUCAGAUUUCAGUUCUUAAAUUGAUGUGGAAAUGGUGGUGCUUGUCCGAGUUGGGUUUCCCAUUCCCAUUUCCCAGCAUACCAUUCAUUUAGCCAGAAGAGCCUUAGAUCCUGCAGCCUGCAGUACCCACAUGCGUGGGGAUGUUUGUACUAUUUCAUAGGUUGUCCAGGAAGCUGAUUCACCUGGUAUGGGUUUGCGACACUUGGAAUCCCUUGGGGAAAUAGGAAGCUGCUGGGCCAAUCUACACUUGGCAUGACAUGACACUAUUUGAUGCUGUACAUAGAAAAACUUACGGUUUUUAGAGACCUUUAAAAACUGGGGCUAGGGGGGCUGGAGAGAUGGCUCAGUGGUUAAGAGCACUGCCCGCUCUUCCAAAGGUCCUGAGUUCAAUUCCCAGCAACCACAUGGUGGCUCACAACCAUCUGUAGUGAGAUCUGGUGCCUUCUUCUGGACUGUAGGCAUACAUGCAGACAGAAUACUGAGAAUACUGUAUACAUAAUAAAUAAAAAAAAAAAAAACUGGGGCUAGAGGGGUGAGUUUUUGGUUAAGAGCACUUGCUUUUGCAAAGGGCCAGUUUGACUUCCAACACCCAUGUCUGGCGCUCCACAAGCUCCUGUGACUCCAGUUCAGGAAGAUCUGACAUCCUCUUGUAGCCUCUGCAGGUACCCGCACACAUAUGCACAUACACACUAAAUGAAAUCUUUAAGAAAAUAUUGCAGGAGAAUGCCACAGAUUCAGAAACCUUACUGGCUUUUUACCAGUGCUUUUGAGCCCAGUUAGACUAUUCUGUUAAAAAAAGCCUGGGUUAAAACAGGUCUCGCUGAACAUAACGGACAAUGAGGACUACUGAGACCGCAAGAACAAUGGCAAUGGGUUUUUGAUCCUACUGUACCUAUUGGUUUCGUGGGAGCCUAGGCAGUUUCGUGGAUGCUCACCUUACUAGACCUGGAUGGAGGUGGGUGGUCCUUGGACUUCCCACAGGGCAGGGAACCCUGAUUGCUCUUUGGGCUGACGAGGGAGNNNNCCCUGAUUGCUCUUUAGGCUGACGAGGGAGGGGGACUUGAUUGGGGGAGCAGGAGGGAAAGGGGAGGCGGUGAUGGGGAAGAGACAGAAAUCUUUAAUAAAUAAAUAAAUUAAAAAAAAAGGAAAAGGAAAAAAAAAACGGACUCACUGAACAUAGUGGAUAAUGAGGACUGCUGAGAAG